AUAAUAAUUAGUCUUUUAAUUGAAGGCUGGAAUGAAUGAUUGGACGAGGUAAUUUCUGUCUCAUUAAAAUUAAAAUUUAAAUUUAAUUUUUUAGUUAAAAAGCUAAAAUUUUAUUAAAGGACGAGAAGACCCUAUAGAGUUUUAUAAUAUGUUAUAAAUAAAUUUUAAUUUUAAUUUGUUUAUAUUAUAUUAUUUUGUUGGGGCGAUAAGAAAAUUAAUUUAACUUUUUUAAAUUUAUUACAUUGAUUUAUGAAUUUUUGAUCCUAAAUUUUAGAUUAAUAGAUUAAGUUACCUUAGGGAUAACAGCGUUAUUUUUUUUUAGAGUUCAUAUUAAUAAAAAAGAUUGC
RNAcentral lists this ribosomal RNA (347 nucleotides) under Arge suzukii. Its description in RNAcentral is "partial large subunit ribosomal RNA". The record is from RNAcentral. Lineage: Eukaryota; Metazoa; Arthropoda; Insecta; Hymenoptera; Argidae.